Molecule: transfer RNA, 73 nt
Filed under: Heterocephalus glaber (naked mole-rat)
Lineage: Eukaryota; Metazoa; Chordata; Mammalia; Rodentia; Bathyergidae
Rfam family: tRNA
About the family: Transfer RNA (tRNA) molecules are approximately 80 nucleotides in length.
Source: Rfam by way of RNAcentral
GGGGGUGUAGCUCAGCUGGUAGAGUGCUUGCCUAAUAGGCAUGAGACCCUGGGUUCAGUCCCUACCACCACCA